Molecule: long non-coding RNA, 260 nt
Filed under: Chinchilla lanigera (long-tailed chinchilla)
Lineage: Eukaryota; Metazoa; Chordata; Mammalia; Rodentia; Chinchillidae
Description: lncRNA (ENSCLAG00000023154.1)
Source: RNAcentral
GAACGUGUCUUCUCUUCAUUUGCCCUUCCCCCCUGCCUUCCCAGGAGGAGUCUCACCCACACUGUGCGGCGGGAACCAAAGGCUGGGGUCGGAUUGUCCCAGAGAACAACUUCCAGUAACCGAAGACACCGAUGAUCAAAUGGUACACGUGGGCAGUUACAGAUUUUUGCAAAGGAAGUUUGCAUAAAUUUAAGGUAUGACUCGUUUAUUUUAUAUCCUGAAUUAACUUUCCACCUUCUCAGUCUGAAGUUGUAAUAAAA